GAUACAGAGAAAGCACGUUACUACAUCUGGCUCCUUUUCCUGGGGAAGUGAGGACUGAGGACUGAUCUUCUAGGGGACGACUGCAAACUUCUUCUAAACCGCUGCUCAACCAGGCCCCCAAAGGAAAGGCUGACACUCUUUGGGGGCAGGCUUCAGCCUCCACUGGGUCUCCCAGCCCAAGGUGCCAGACUCCUGCCGAGUUCCUCCCAGGAGGCCGCUGGCGCAGGAGGAAGCAGCCUGGCUAAAGCUAUAUGGUGAUUCGUGGAUUUACAUGGCGAAAGCUGGGAAUCCAGAGGACACAAUGGUCAUGAGAGGGACCUGUGUACAUUCCUCAGGGCAAGCCGUGGAGUCCCCUGCCCCUCACAGGGGACCUUCCGUAAAACAUCCCCAUUCUGGGUUCCCCUUGCCUCCCUUCCUCGAUCCACCCCAUUCUAGUAAGACAAAUUGAACACAGAUAAGGGCAGCAAACUACUAUUUAUUGAAUGUUUACCAUAUCUGAGGCCUGGGCUUGGUACUUUACAAAAAGCCUGUGAGAGAUAGUACACUGGCACCAUCAUCUACAUUCUAUAGAUGAGUAAACUGAGUUACAAAAAGAGUAAGUCAUUGCCCAAGGGCAUGCAUCUAAAAGUCAUGGAGCCAGGAGUCUGUUUUGGCCUCUGAUUUGCUAUCUCACCUCUAAAGCAUGCUGCCUUCUGACAGGACAGAAGGGAAAGGGACGCAAAGACAGAGAACAGAGGUAUGCUAGGAGAGGAGAACAAAGGAAUGGGGGGGUUAAAAAGGUGAGUGGCUGGAGCAGAUGUGCCCUGAGAGCUCCCCAGGCCUGGGGCCCCCAAAUGCAGGUUGGGGUGAGGCCACAGGAGUCUAUGUCUCCAGCAAGAGGCUGGCAGGGCUCUGUGGCUGCCUCUGGCUCAGAGGCCUGAGUGCCUGGCAAGGCCAAGUAGGGAGGGAGCACAGAGCAGGUGCUGGCCCCUCAUGCAGGCCGCUAAGCAAAUGCAGAUGGGCCCAUUUCAGUUUCCAAACCUGCUGGCCGAGCACGUCACAGAUCUAAAGAGAAGGCAGAAUCUGUUUUUGUCCAUAUUAGGCCUGAAACUCACUCCUCUCUCUUUCCCUCUCCCCCGCCUCCCCUAAAGCCCCAAGUGAUUAAAUCAAGUAUGUGGGAUUUGGGUUAGAAUCAUUGUGUCCAAUCUGCAGGAAUGCCGAGCUAGUGCCAGCCCCCUUGGCAGGGACCCAGCCCAGGCCCUCUCUGAGCACGCCAGGACAAACAUACUCUUCCCUGGGGGCAGCAGGCCCGCUGCAAAGGAGCAGCUCUGCUCCAUCACUAUUCCUGCAAAGGCAGCCUUCGGAAUGCUCGUCUCCAGGCCCAGGUGAACCUGGGGCAUGCUGGCCUCUGCCUGGCUCCCCACCUGGCAUCCGUACUGCUCCACAUUCCCUUAGCCCUACUCACCGGCCAUUCAAUAUCCAAAUAUCCCUCCUCCGCAGACUGCCCUCUGGGGCGAUCCAAGAGUAGCAAAGAACUUAGAGUCAAUCCUGGCUCUGUCUCUCACUGGCUGUGUGAUCCUGGGGAAGUUAUUCCCCCCCGAGUCUUAGUUUCCUAAUCUAUAGACACUGACCGACACAGUACUACUUCACGAACUCUCCUAAGGAUUAAAGAAGUUGACACACUUCAAGCAUCUAGCCUGGAACAUAACAGGUCCUAAAUAAUAGUUUAUUCCCUUUGUCUUCCCUUCUACAUUCAAAGUCUGACCUCCUCUACUAGACUAUCUAAAAUUCCUUGAAGAUUGGAUGGGAUUCAUGUCUAACUCCUUUUUAGGUGCAUUUAACAUGUUGCCUGACCCUCAACGGGAGUAUGGUACAUGUUUCAGAAUGAAUGAAUGAAUGGCUCAGAAUCCUUCACGUGGGGUCCCUGCCUAGGAUUCUUCUCAUCUGUGCUUAGACUGGCAUCUAGUGAGUCUUUGUCCCAUUAAGGCAUGGGAACCAUGAAACACUGCUGACACCCCAAACCAACAACAUCCUAGUGAACUCCAGGGGAGAGUGCAACAGGACUCUCUCUUUACCUUACCUCCACCUGAUUAUUUCCCAGGACUCAUGGGAAGGGAGAUGGGGAAGGGCUUCUCUCUCUAUAACAUGGCUUAUAUUUUCAAAACCCUCCCUUUCCCCUGUGUUCAAGGCAUCUCUUCCAGAAUCCCACAGAAGGUACUGCUCUGUCCCUCCUCAGCCUCCAGCACUACCAGACCAUGGACAGGAUGCCUCCUCACGUCAGCGGGCCAGAUGGAGUUAAUUCUUUGGACAAGCUGGGUGAGAAAAGCAUGGAAGCAAUGUUUAAAAUCCUCUCUGAUAGAACCAGGCCACUCAUCACUGCUCCAGGAGACGACUGCUGGCCCCAGCCGAAGCCCUGCCUCCCCAGCCUUAGCUGGGACCUCAAAGCCCUCAGUCACCUGCUACUCUCUAUGUCCCAGAUUGGUCCUGGCCACCGUUCUGGAGCUGUCUCAUGGACGUACUCCCCGUCAUCCUUCCAGGGAGUAAGGAUGCUCAGGGGAUGGGGAUAAUAGGCAGAGACCAAGCAGGCCCCAAGGAGAACCACACCUGAACCUGCUGAGAGAAAAUUAAUCCCAAAGCAAUGGCUCCGGAGAGGAGGAAGGCUGGGGAAUAGGGCUCAGAUCUUCCUUCGGGGGAAGAGGACUACAGCAAGGCUGGAGCAGCCACAGCUGAGUGGAGAGACACGGUGAAGAGUUAGCAGGGGCGUGGAUGGGAGACAGUGGCCUGGCAGACCACCAGACUGUCACCUGCAUUCCCACCCACACAGAUUCCUCAAGGGCAAUCCGCACUGACUGCCUGAGGAGAGGAGAGGGAGAAGAGGUAGGCCUUCUUCCCCAGAAGCCCGGCCCUGAGCAGCCCCAUCUUAUCAAGCCCAGCUUGGGGAAGCCAGAGGUCUCAACCCUUCCCAGCUUUGCUGAUGAGAUAUGGAACAAGGGCAUCGCCAAGAAUUUCUGCUUUGCACUCUUUUAAAAGGGGCUUGUCAGAGCCCAAACUUAUCACACUGAUCCUCUUGAAAGAAGAAACCAGCCCCACCCAGCCCUGCCCCCAAUCCUCCCCACAGCUCCUUUGGUCAUUAACCACACACACCAAACAGCACUCACUCACACACACACAACUAGAAGAACCAGUUAGGAAAGAGGUGUGUUAAGUGCACAGACACUGAGAAUUUCUCUCAACAGAAUCCUAAGCUUCCUGACCACACCCUGGCUAGGGCCCUGGGUCUGUAGCUUCCCUGUCAAAACCUCUCCUGGUUCCAAGCAGCUGUUUCUCCUGGUGCUCAGCCUCUUCCCCUCCUUCACGCAGUGGAGAAAGGGCCAGGGUAAAGGCCCAACUCCCUCCUUCCUCCGCCAACACACAGUACAUCAGAUGGGGAGCUCUAAAGAGCUAACUGUUACCCACCCUCCAAGCCUGGACACCUUUCUCCAACUGCCCAGGCACCGGUCCCCCUGGGCUGCACCUCUGGGCUGCAGCCUCAAUGUUGUUAGGUACCCUCUGUUCAUUACUACUUUCCAGCCUGGGGACAAAUGAGAGAAGAUGACAGAGAGAGCAGAAGCUCAAAAAGCUUUGCAAUCAGGCUGACUGGCCCUGUCCCCAGCUCCCAUCCUGCUCAAGUUCCUGGAAACUCUCCCUCAGCCCCAACUAGCUGAUGGGAGUGGGAAUCUCUGCAGGAAUGCAGUCCAGGCUCCCUGGUCAGGCGCCGAGGCCACUCCACAUAACUCCCUAACAAGCUGCUUCCUUGGGUGCAUUUUUAAGUGUCAGGCUCAGAAUGCAAACGAUUAUAAGGCUUUGUGGAAUAGCAGCAUCUUCCAGGGGCAGAUGUCAAAUUGGACAGGCGAGAAUUAACAGCCCCAGGAAGUAACAAGGCAGUUACUUUAUUUUUGAACCCCUCUAUUGCAAAUUAGCAGGAUAAACCUCAGCCUGUCUCGGAAUAUCCCACCCCAGGUCCCCAGGCGUCAUGCCUGAUGUGGGAGGGAGGCCAGCAAAUUCCCCAAGGCCCCUCGUUCAAGUCCACUGCUCAUAGAAAAGACAUGUUAGUUUCUGGGCCAACUGAUCCUCAACCUCUAACAGACCAGAAACUCCAAUCCAAUCAGCUGGUCCCCAUGAUGGAGAUUUAACAUGGGUGCUCCCUGCCCCCCACAGCCCCAUUAUCACAUACCCAAAACAAAGCUUUGCCUGUCCCUGUGCAAGCAAGGCAGCAGAAGAGUUGGUUAAUCCAAACAGAACCAGAAAUGACCUUAACCUCACAGAGCACAGGCUGGGCCAAGAACAGAAGAGAAGGCUCCUGGGAAGUCCGAGGCACUGGUCAAUCCCAGGCAAAAGUGAAACCGACAUUCAGAGUUCAGCAACAAGGGCCCCCGUGAAGCCUCUGGGGGGUCCAAAUUCUUGGGCCUGUCUCCAGGGAAGGAGAAAGGGAUAGAUCAACCAGAAUCUAAGAGAAAGAGAUAUUCUCUCUUAUAUUGCCCUCAGCCUCCCUGGUCUAGAAAUUUAGCCAGUGCUAUUGUGGGGGAUACAAAGAAGGAAGCUGUGUCCAGGGCAGUGAACUAACUACAGAUGCUAAACAGCCCCACACCCCCACCCUACAAGGCUGAAGCAAAACCCAGGUGCCUGUGUCACUCCCUGCCCUCCUUCCAACACCCUGCUGAGUACUCCACUCCUGCCUAAUCUGCACAAUGCUCCAAAUCCACAAGCUAGGGGAGUAGCGAAGGAACACGCCCGCACUGCUGCUUCAUCCCAUCCUAGCCCUUACCCCUAGCUCUAGCUCAUCCGUUCAGGAAGCAGCUACGCUGCUCCGGGAUUUCCUUCCCUCCUCGUGCAGCAUCCCAAAGUGGCAGAAAGACCCCUCUACUGAGUCUGAGUCUGAGACCCAGACACCCUUGCCUCCCUCCUCCUCUUCUCUCUAACCUGACCGAAGAAAGCCCAGAGAACAGCUCUGUUGCCCAGGACAGCGCCCCCCAAAUUCUCAUCUCCCUCUGCCCCACCAGACACAGUCCCCAAACAAGCCCAAACAGAGCCUAGGAUCAUGGAACUCUGGACAGGGAGAAAUGGUUAAAGCAUCCCUUUCUCUUACUUCAGUUCAGUUGAUGCAAAAACAUGCAUCUCCUCACCUGAAAUCCCUGGACAGCCCAGACGGGCUGCGAAGCCUUGUCAGAGAAGAGGGGAUCACAGAGUGGGCAGAGACCACCGUGCUGGGGGAGGGGGCUAAGAAUGAGAGCCUCGCCUGCCCACUGCAGCAGCUGUACUGGGUGCUCCCAAGGGCCCCAGGCAGCAAGAACACAUUCCGGUUUCUUCUCAACCAGAGGAAACAGGAAUGUACCCUGCAACGGGAGUGGGGAGGAAGAUGGGGUUGUGCCUCUGAUCCCCACAGCUCUUGACCUCAACUCUGGGGACCAUGUGUACAAAGCUUUUUCCCAGUGUUAAGGGAAAGGCCUUCCUCCCUAGACCCUUUUGCUGUUCUAGGGAUCCCACUCCUACAGUCUUCCUGUUAUGACCUAAUUUUGGAUGGCUAUAUACUAUGCACUCCAUUCCUGGUGAACCAGUGCCUUUGUGGAUCCAAGCAUUACUGCUAUUUCCCCAGAAGUGCCGGCCCAGCAGGUUGUAAGGAGGAAACGAUGAAACUCGUGGCUCAAAUCAAAUGAGGGAAUAGAUGACCUCCUCUUCUGAAGAUUCCCUAGUCUUAGGAGAAUCUGGAGGAUUCUCCACUAGGGCCACUUCUCUCUCUAAUGUGUUAACUAAGACUAUGGUCUCCAGCCUCAAGUCCUAACACAGAGAUGAGACAGAACCAGAGAUGAGAGAGGGGAGGUCAAGUGCAGAAGCACACUGCUUCUCUUCUCUUGAAUGAUCUACACUCACACACAGCACAUUACCUGAACAAAACUGAAGCACCCACGGAAGAGAAUGAGGCCAGAAUUAAAAUGAAAGCCCAAAAUAAAUGAAAGCCCAAAAUAAACCCAACCCACCCCAUUCUGUUGGUUUUUCGUUGACCCUGGAACACAGGUUUGCCAACUCCAAGUCUUCCCAGUUGAAGGACAAUUCUUCAUGGUACCUUACCUUUCUGACUUUUGAGCAAGAGGAAUGAACCAUCCAGACUACUGUUUCAAAGAUGUAUAGCAAACAAGCUCAGAAGACAGAAAGGAGAGUGUCUCCCUGGAGGGCAGAGGCAGAUUUGUUUCCUGACCAGAAUAAAGAUAACAUCUCUCUGUGGGGCAAAGGUUGGGCACGUUUGCUAGCCACCCCCUGAAAAUAUUGGGGUUCCUUAAGCUUAGAGUUUCUCAGCUGGGACACAGACCCACGGUGCGUACAGUCUCUACCUGGACCUCCUCCACAUUGCCUCAUGGAACCUGGGAGCAAGGGGAACCCACGUUAACACGGAGCUCAUGCUUCCUGCUGUGCCAUGAGCAAUAAAGUCCUUUGUCUUCGAUCCAAGAGUCUUGUGUCUUCUGUCAGCAUCUGUGAAUCUGGGGAGGGCUAAACUUGUUUGCAAGCAGAGUAAA
Molecule: long non-coding RNA, 6527 nt
Organism: Zalophus californianus (California sea lion)
Lineage: Eukaryota; Metazoa; Chordata; Mammalia; Carnivora; Otariidae
Exons: 3
Source: RefSeq, a predicted model, not a curated record